This 312-nucleotide unclassified non-coding RNA is filed under the name Hevea brasiliensis (rubber tree). Lineage: Eukaryota; Viridiplantae; Streptophyta; Magnoliopsida; Malpighiales; Euphorbiaceae. The record is from RNAcentral.
AGCAUGUUAUGUGAAAGAUCCAUACUCUUGGUGGAGUGAUAUCGACCUUGUGACUUCCACAUCUGGCGUUUUAGUUCAUCAUUUGUAUAUAAAGAAUAAUCUUCAUGAGCAUUUUCAGCUUCUUUCUCAGCCAUUGGAAGAAAAUGAUCGAUGCACAGUGGAAUUGAUCCUGAUAAUGAAUUAAAAGACAAGUCCAAGUAAGUUAGGUGUCUCAAUUGGCAAAGCUGCACUGGUAUAUUUCCUUCGAAAGCAUUGUGAUGUAACGUAACCGUAUGUAGAUUCUCAGAACUUUCCCCCAACCAUGUCGGUAUG